UACAGAGGUCUCAAGCGUUGUUCGGAUUCAUUGGGCGUAAAGGGCGCGUAGGCGGCUCACUAAGUCGGAUGUGAAAACUCUGGGCUCAACCCAGAGCCUGCAUCCGAAACUGGUGGGCUAGGGUGCUGGAGGGGAAAGCGGAAUUCCUGGUGUAGCGGUGAAAUGCGUAGAUAUCAGGAGGAACACCGGUGGCGAAGGCGGCUUUCUGGACAGUAACCGACGCUGAGGCGCGAAAGCUAGGGGAGCAAACAGG
Molecule: ribosomal RNA, 253 nt
Filed under: uncultured bacterium
Lineage: Bacteria
Description: partial 16S ribosomal RNA
Rfam family: Bacterial small subunit ribosomal RNA
Source: RNAcentral